AACGUAGGACACAAGCGUUACCCGGAGUUACUGGGCGUAAAGGGCGUGCAGGCGGUUUCUUAAGUCAGGCGUGAAACCAUUCGGCUAAACCGGGUGUAGUCGUCUGAGACUGGGAGACUAGAGUGUGGUAGAGGCGUGUAGAAUUCCGGGUGUAGUGGUGAAAUGCGUAGAUAUCCGGAGGAAUACCAGUGGCGAAGGCGGCACGCUGGGCCAUAACUGACGCUAAGACGCGAAAGCAUGGGUAGCGAACGGG
Molecule: ribosomal RNA, 253 nt
Filed under: uncultured bacterium
Lineage: Bacteria
Description: partial 16S ribosomal RNA
Rfam family: Bacterial small subunit ribosomal RNA
Source: RNAcentral